GACGAACGCUGGCGGCGUGCUUAACACAUGCAAGUCGAACGGAAAGGCCCUGCUUUUGUGGCGUGCUCGAGUGGCGAACGGGUGAGUAACACGUGAGUAACCUGCCCUUGACUCUGGGAUAACUUCAGGAAACUGGGGCUAAUACCGGAUAGGAGCUCCUGCUGCAUGGUGGGGGUUGGAAAGUUUCGGCGGUUGGGGAUGGACUCGCGGCUUAUCAGCUUGUUGGUGGGGUAGUGGCUUACCAAGGCUUUGACGGGUAGCCGGCCUGAGAGGGUGACCGGCCACAUUGGGACUGAGAUACGGCCCAGACUCCUACGGGAGGCAGCAGUGGGGAAUAUUGCACAAUGGGCGGAAGCCUGAUGCAGCAACGCCGCGUGCGGGAUGACGGCCUUCGGGUUGUAAACCGCUUUCGCCUGUGACGAAGCGUGAGUGACGGUAAUGGGUAAAGAAGCACCGGCUAACUACGUG
RNAcentral lists this ribosomal RNA (468 nucleotides) under uncultured bacterium. RNAcentral describes it as "partial 16S ribosomal RNA". It matches the Rfam family "Bacterial small subunit ribosomal RNA", at positions 28 to 507 of the family's 1533-position model. The record is from RNAcentral.